Molecule: long non-coding RNA, 1008 nt
Filed under: Canis lupus familiaris (dog)
Lineage: Eukaryota; Metazoa; Chordata; Mammalia; Carnivora; Canidae
Description: lncRNA (ENSCAFG00040012357.1)
Source: RNAcentral
AUGCCCAGUCACACGGCUCCUGUGGGCUGCAGCCGGGCUGUGACAGCGCCCCCGCCCCGACCCCGCCGGCCGCGCGGCCAGACCCUCCCAUUCAGCAGCCUGCCCCCCGGGGCUCCGCAGGGGUGGCCGCGCCCGAACACUGGACCCGGGCACGGGGAACUUCCAGCGCCAAGUUCCGGGGCCCCGGGUUCCCGCCCGGCGCCACCCGGCCGCCGGCCCCAGUACGGAGGGCGGGCUCGGGGAGACCGCUCCCGGCCCCGGGAGAGCACUCACCCGCCACGGCCACCGAGCCACCGCCGCCGCGCGCCCCGCCCCGCCCGCCGGGAGCAGUCCCGAGGCCCGCCGCGUGCUGGGGGGAGCCGCCGCCGCGCCCCCCGCGCGCCACGUGACGCGGCCCCGCCCUCAGCCACGCGAUUGGCUGCCGCGGCCGGCUCUGCGCGCCCCCAUUGGCCAGGGGGCGGGGCCGCGCCGGGGGGGGGGGCCGGGUUACAUAAGCGGAGGCGGGUGGGCGGGAGAUGGCCCCCGGGCACGUUCCAGAGCGCCGGGGGUCCGGCGGAGGGCGGCGUGCGGCCAAUCCCGGCGGGCCGGCGCGCAGCGGAGGGCUGGGCGGCCCCGAGGGGCCUGGGGCUGGGGCCGGGCCAGCCGAGCGCUCCGCCCCCUCACGGCGCCGGGAAAGGGAGGGGCGGAAGCCGGCUGCGGGGCGGGGAUAGGGCGCUCGAGCCGCCAAUCACGAGGGUCCGGGACCCGGGCGGGGUUGGCCCGCCUCCAGGUGAGGGGCGGGGGAGCCGGGCGGCUGCGAGCGCGGGUGGCGGGGGCCGCCAGCUCGCGGAUGGGGGCGCACCUGGGGCGCGGGUCGGGCGGCUCCCGGGCAGAGGGAAGAAGCGCGUCCGAGCUCCGUGUCUGCGCCGUCUCGUUCCCUUGUUUGCGUCUUGCUCAUCCUUCCUGCUCGGGCGCCCGCUGGUGCUUGAGGCUCCGAGAUGCUUGAGGCUCCGGGGGUCCGGGCAGUAA